This 219-nucleotide RNase P RNA is filed under the name Klebsiella quasipneumoniae. RNAcentral's name for it is "partial RNase P RNA component class A". It matches the Rfam family "Bacterial RNase P class A", at positions 1 to 190 of the family's 367-position model. From Rfam's summary of the family: Ribonuclease P (RNase P) is a ubiquitous endoribonuclease, found in archaea, bacteria and eukarya as well as chloroplasts and mitochondria. Its best characterised activity is the generation of mature 5'-ends of tRNAs by cleaving the 5'-leader elements of precursor-tRNAs. Cellular RNase Ps are ribonucleoproteins. Lineage: Bacteria; Pseudomonadati; Pseudomonadota; Gammaproteobacteria; Enterobacterales; Enterobacteriaceae. The record is from RNAcentral.
GAAGCUGACCAGACAGUCGCCGCUUCGUCGUCGUCCUCUUUCGGGGGGAGACGGGCGGAGGGGAGGAAAGUCCGGGCUCCAUAGGGCAAGGUGCCAGGUAACGCCUGGGGGGUGUCACAGCCCACGACCAGUGCAACAGAGAGCAAACCGCCGAUGGCCCGCGCAAGCGGGAUCAGGUAAGGGUGAAAGGGUGCGGUAAGAGCGCACCGCGCGGCUGGU